GACGAACGCUGGCGGCGUGCUUAACACAUGCAAGUCGAACGGAAAGGCCCUGCUUUUGUGGGGUGCUCGAGUGGCGAACGGGUGAGUAACACGUGAGUAACCUGCCCUUGACUUUGGGAUAACUUCAGGAAACUGGGGCUAAUACCGGAUAGGAGCUCCUGCUGCAUGGUGGGGGUUGGAAAGUUUCGGCGGUUGGGGAUGGACUCGCGGCUUAUCAGCUUGUUGGUGGGGUAGUGGCUUACCAAGGCUUUGACGGGUAGCCGGCCUGAGAGGGUGACCGGCCACAUUGGGACUGAGAUACGGCCCAGACUCCUACGGGAGGCAGCAGUGGGGAAUAUUGCACAAUGGGCGGAAGCCUGAUGCAGCAACGCCGCGUGCGGGAUGACGGCCUUCGGGUUGCAAACCGCUUUCGCCUGUGACGAAGCGUGAGUGACGGUAAUGGGUAAAGAAGCACCAGCUAACUACGUG
RNAcentral lists this ribosomal RNA (468 nucleotides) under uncultured bacterium. RNAcentral's name for it is "partial 16S ribosomal RNA". It matches the Rfam family "Bacterial small subunit ribosomal RNA", at positions 28 to 507 of the family's 1533-position model. The record is from RNAcentral.